Molecule: ribosomal RNA, 253 nt
Filed under: uncultured bacterium
Lineage: Bacteria
Description: partial 16S ribosomal RNA
Rfam family: Bacterial small subunit ribosomal RNA
Source: RNAcentral
GACGUAGGGCGCGAGCGUUGUCCGGAUUUAUUGGGCGUAAAGAGCUCGUAGGCGGUCUGUCGCGUCUGCUGUGAAAACUCAGGGCUUAACCCUGAGCUUGCAGUGGGUACGGGCAGACUAGAGUGCGGUAGGGGAGACUGGAAUUCCUGGUGUGGCGGUGAAAUGCGCAGAUAUCAGGAGGAACACCGGUGGCGAAGGCGGGUCUCUGGGCCGUAACUGACGCUGAGGAGCGAAAGCAUGGGGAGCGAACAGG